Long non-coding RNA from Oreochromis aureus, 1996 nucleotides. Lineage: Eukaryota; Metazoa; Chordata; Actinopteri; Cichliformes; Cichlidae. The record is from Ensembl.
CUCCGGAUUGAUCAGACACAGAGACAAGCGACCGACAAGGUUGAAGCUGUUCUCCUGAAGUGUAACAUAUUUCCUCCAUUUGGAUCACUUUGACAAUGAAGCUCCUCCAUGCUGUGAUCUUCUUCUUCUUAUCAGGUACAACUGGGUUUGUCAAAGCCAGCAUUUGGAUUGUACCUGAAGGAGGGAAUUUAUCACUUUAUAAUCGCUUCACUGUGUCUGGAAACACAAAGUUCUUCUGUAAGGAAAAAUGUGAGAGAGCAGAAAACAUCCUCAUUAAAACAGAUGGAACCACAGCUCAGAGCGGCAGAUUCAGCAUUGAAUACAAAAAUGCAUCUUCAGGAAGAGGAGAGCUGACUAUGAAAAUCACGCAUACAACCAAGUCUGACUCAAGAAUGUAUCGGUUUGGUUUGGGCAAAUCUUCAGCUCCAGAUUCAUACUCAGACCUUGAGGUCAGAGUUUCAAAUGAAUUUGAUAAAAGCUCUGGAAUCUUCCGUGCGCAGACUGAGGGAGAAGAAAUCUCAUUUGGAUGUGCCAAUGCUGUCCAUGGACAGAGGAAGUUCCUUUGUAAGAAUCCGUGUGAAAAAGAAGGAAAUAUUUUCAUUGACACAACUAAUGACAAAGCUGAGAAUGGCAGGUACAGCAUCAAAUACACAAAAGGAUCUGUGCAUGGACUGUAUGCAACCAUCAGACAGCUGACCAAGUCUGACACGGGACAGUACCGGUGUGGUUACGGCGACCCUUUGUCUCCUGAUUCAUACCACACUGAUAAUGUUUUUGUCGUAGAGGCUUCAAAACCUUCUGCCUCCACACCUUCAUCGGGUCAAACUGAAUCUGCGAGUAGGAGCUGGGAUCGAGCUUCAAACCCUCCUGACUCAACACAACAGGCAACAACACAGAGUCACACUUUCACUCCAGGACUCUCCAAACCGUCAUCAGACUGUCCAGACUUCUUCCUGCCUCUGGUUGUGUGUGUGUCCUUGGUUGGAGCUUUACUGUUGUGUGUUGGUCUGCUGCUCUACUACAUUAGUAAAUUGAAGAGGAAAGCUGUAUUAAACAUCAGAAACAAUGACUACACGAUCAUGAAGUUGUCUUCUGUCAAUGAUGAUUAGACUCCUUCCUCUGCACAUGAAGACUCCAAAAGGACCAGGAACAGAACUACUCUGCAUUUAUAAAGAUGGACAUGUAAAAGUAAUGCUUAUGUUAUGUAGCUUAAAUUAAAUUUGCGUGAAAACAAAAAAAAUCUAAUUGAAGUGUAUGCAGCAUCUUUUGUUUGUCAGAGCCACCACACUAGUAAAACAUCAACAUGAUGAUGGCAAAAAUGCCAUAAAAUCUUAAGGAUUCAGUACAUUACAAACCAGUGACUGUUUACAUUGUUGGUAUGUUGAUCUUUUACGAAGAUCUGUGAGCACAUCAACAUAUCAUGGUUGAACUGCCUGUUGUGUAUUUGUGAUAUUGACAAAUAAAGAAAAUAGUCUGAUUUUGAGCAUUUAGUUCAUAAUUCACUCCUCAGCUACGGUCGCCAUGAGUGCAGAGCGAGAACAUACAUGUGGGUUUUUUUUGUUUGUUUAUUACCUUGAUUUGCUUUUAUAGCUGUUUUUUUAUUUGUUUACCUCAUAGUUUUAUUUUGUUCUACUAAUGUAAGGUGACCUUGAGGGUCUUUAAAGGCGCCUAUAAAUAAAAUGUAUUAUUAUUAUUAUUGUUAUUAUUAUUAUUGUUAUUUUUAUUAUUAUUGUUAUUAUUAUGUAUUGAUUUCAGUAUAUUUUAAUCAUUAUAGCUUCUUCUUAAUUUGAUUUGCUGUUACACAAUAAAUCUCAUCCAUGGCCUCUGUUGUAUAUAAAAAUGAUGAGCUUAACAAAACUGGGUUUGAAAAAUGUUCAGCCUUGCUUCUGCUGUGUUUAAUGUGAGUGAAGUGUAAGAACCAUGGCUUUGUCUGUAGAUCAUGUGCAUUCUUAAUUUUGAAAUAAAUCCCUUUUAAAUCAUCUAAAUUUUAUAAGGA